RNAcentral lists this ribosomal RNA (1093 nucleotides) under Aplidium tabarquensis. RNAcentral describes it as "large ribosomal RNA". Lineage: Eukaryota; Metazoa; Chordata; Ascidiacea; Aplousobranchia; Polyclinidae. The record is from RNAcentral.
UAUUUUUUUUUUUUUUUUUUUAUAAUUAUUGCUUGUAUGUUGUGUUUUGUAGUUUUUUAUAUAAGAAGAAUUUUUUUUUUACGUGAGUAGUUUUAAAAUUUUAUUUUUUUUUUUUUUUUUCUUUCUUUUUGGAUAUGAAAUAACAAUAUUUUUCUUAGUUUUUUGGUUUUCUCGAAAAAAGACGAUAUAAAGUAUAAUUAUUUUUUUAUAGUGCAAAAUAUUUUUUUUUUACUUUAGUUUAUUAUAUGUUUAUCAAGUUUUUUAAUAUCUAGUGUAUAAUGAUAAGUGUAACAAGUAGUUAAUAUUUUUUGCUGUGUAAUUGAGGGUCAACUUUUUUUUUUUUAAUUUUUUUUUUUUUUAUUUUAUUUUUUAGUAGGAUUUAAAGUGUUUUUUAUUAUAUGUAAUAUUUUUUAUUUUUUUUUUUAGUUUUUUAGUUUUUUUUUACUUUUAUUUUAAAAGGUUAUUAUGAGUAAUUUUUUUUUUUUGUUUUUUUAUUUUAUAUUUAUUUUUUAAAUAUAUUUUUUAAAUAAAAAAAAGUAAUUUAAGAAUAUAUUAUUUUGUUUACUAAAUACUUUUUUUAUAGUUUUUUUUUAUAAAAAGAAAUUUUUUUAUAAAAAUAAUUUUAUUUUGUUUAAAUGACUUUUAAUUAUAUUAUGUUUUUUUCUUUUUUUUUUUAAUGAAGUUUUUUUUAUAGUGAAAUAAACUAUAGUUAUAAUAAAAGACGAAAAGACCCUUGGUGAUUUAAGUUAAUAAGAAAGUUUUUUUUUUAAAAAUUUUAACUGGGGCAGUUUUUUUUUUUAACUUUUUUUCUUUUUUUUAUAUUAUAGUUAUAUGACUUUUGAUCUUUUUUGUUUUUUUGACAAACCAACCCUAGGGAUAACAGCGCAAUUUACAAGGAAAGUUCAUAUUGAUUUGUUUUUUUACGACCUCGAUGUCGGCUUUUUUUUUUUUUUUAGAGCAGUUUUUAUCUUUUUUUGUUUGUUCACCAAAUAAUUUUAUACAUGAGCUGGGUUUAGAACGGAGUGAUUUAGUUUGGUUUUUAUCUUUUUUAAAUGAAGAACAUAGUACGAAAGGAAUAGUUUUUUUUUGUGUU